RNAcentral lists this ribosomal RNA (253 nucleotides) under uncultured bacterium. Its description in RNAcentral is "partial 16S ribosomal RNA". It matches the Rfam family "Bacterial small subunit ribosomal RNA", at positions 524 to 776 of the family's 1533-position model. The record is from RNAcentral.
UACGUAGGGUGCAAUCGUUAAUCGGAAUUACUGGGCGUAAAGCGUGCGCAGGCGGUUUUGUAAGUCUGUCGUGAAAGCCCCGGGCUCAACCUGGGAAUUGCGAUGGAGACUGCAAGGCUUGAAUCUGGCAGAGGGUGGUAGAAUUCCACGUGUAGCAGUGAAAUGCGUAGAGAUGUGGAGGAACACCGAUGGCGAAGGCAGCCCCCUGGGUCAAGAUUGACGCUCAUGCACGAAAGCGUGGGGAGCAAACAGG